This 493-nucleotide ribosomal RNA is filed under the name uncultured bacterium. RNAcentral's name for it is "bacterial SSU rRNA". It matches the Rfam family "Bacterial small subunit ribosomal RNA", at positions 28 to 500 of the family's 1533-position model. The record is from RNAcentral.
GACGAACGCUGGCGGCGUGCCUAACACAUGCAAGUCGAGCGGUCCGGCAUUUAACAUUGAGUAUUCAGAUGAAUCUGAGUAUUGAAUGUUAAAUGUCGGAUAGCGGCGGACGGGUGAGUAACGCGUGGGUGACCUGCCUUAUACAGGGGGAUAACACAGGGAAACUUGUGCUAAUACCGCAUAAUAUCAUUGUAUGGCAUCAUAUGGUGAUCAAAGGAGCAAUCCGGUAUAAGAUGGACCCGCGUCCAAUUAGCUAGUUGGUGGUGUAACGGACCACCAAGGCGACGAUUGGUAGCCGAACUGAGAGGUUGAUCGGCCACAUUGGGACUGAGACACGGCCCAGACUCCUACGGGGAGGCAGCAGUGGGGAAUAUUGCACAAUGGGGGAAACCCUGAUGCAGCAACGCCGCGUGAAGGAUGAAGGUUUUCGGAUCGUAAACUUCUUUGAUGAGGGACGAAUAAUGACGGUACCUCAAGAACAAGCCACGGCUAA